RNAcentral lists this ribosomal RNA (519 nucleotides) under Staphylococcus aureus. RNAcentral's name for it is "partial 23S ribosomal RNA". It matches the Rfam family "Bacterial large subunit ribosomal RNA", at positions 1257 to 1772 of the family's 2925-position model. The record is from RNAcentral. Lineage: Bacteria; Bacillati; Bacillota; Bacilli; Caryophanales; Staphylococcaceae.
AUGAUCGUAAGGACAUGUGGAGCGCUUAGAAGUGAGAAUGCCGGUGUGAGUAGCGAAAGACGGGUGAGAAUCCCGUCCACCGAUUGACUAAGGUUUCCAGAGGAAGGCUCGUCCGCUCUGGGUUAGUCGGGUCCUAAGCUGAGGCCGACAGGCGUAGGCGAUGGAUAACAGGUUGAUAUUCCUGUACCACCUAUAAUCGUUUUAAUCGAUGGGGGGACGCAGUAGGAUAGGCGAAGCGUGCGAUUGGAUUGCACGUCUAAGCAGUAAGGCUGAGUAUUAGGCAAAUCCGGUACUCGUUAAGGCUGAGCUGUGAUGGGGAGAAGACAUUGUGUCUUCGAGUCGUUGAUUUCACACUGCCGAGAAAAGCCUCUAGAUAGAAAAUAGGUGCCCGUACCGCAAACCGACACAGGUAGUCAAGAUGAGAAUUCUAAGGUGAGCGAGCGAACUCUCGUUAAGGAACUCGGCAAAAUGACCCCGUAACUUCGGGAGAAGGGGUGCUCUUUAGGGUUAACGCCCAGA